Molecule: small RNA, 434 nt
Filed under: Histoplasma capsulatum
Lineage: Eukaryota; Fungi; Ascomycota; Eurotiomycetes; Onygenales; Ajellomycetaceae
Also listed under: 1 other name
Description: hypothetical RNA
Source: RNAcentral
CUCCUGGGUCAGGAAGCGGUAUUAUCCAUGUGCAAAUAACUGCAAACUCCCUUGCCCUUGUGUGAACCACCGUCUGGCGCUACCGCGAGUCCGUCGUUGAAGUAAGGAAGCUAAAGCGAGCAACCGCCGCAUCUGGUUGGCCGAGGCGCUAUCAAUCUCCCAUCAGAUACGGCCAACAUGCCUGCUAGCCCCAUCUGAUAAAAAUUUCUCCUGUCACGAUUCCUGCGCCGUCCGCAAAAAGGUGAUUUGAGGCGGAGAAUAAGUAGGCGAAAAGCAAAAGCAAAAAAAAAGGAAGAAAAAUAUUUGAAGACUAGGCUUGGUGAAUUGCCUUCCAGCCAGCCCGUUAUCCCGCAAGGGUUCCAUCAUCCUUCCCUGGCGCCCGUUGAGUCGGGUUGUAUUCUCCUCCUCAACAGAGCUUUAAAAGCUAAUCCUGC